GAUGAACGCUAGCGGGAGGCCUAACACAUGCGAGCCGAGCGGUAGAGAUUCUUCGGAAUCUUGAGAGCGGCGUACGGGUGCGGAACACGUGUGCAACCUGCCUUUAUCAGGGGGAUAGCCUUUCGAAAGGAAGAUUAAUACCCCAUAAUAUAUUUGAUGGCAUCAUUAGAUAUUGAAAGCUUUGGCGGAUAGAGAUGGGCACGCGCAAGAUUAGAUAGUUGGUGAGGUAACGGCUCACCAAGUCGAUGAUCUUUAGGGGGCCUGAGAGGGUGAUCCCCCACACUGGUACUGAGACACGGACCAGACUCCUACGGGAGGCAGCAGUGAGGAAUAUUGGACAAUGGGUUAGCGCCUGAUCCAGCCAUCCCGCGUGAAGGACGACGGCCCUAUGGGUUGUAAACUUCUUUUGUACAGGGAUAAACCUACUCUCGUGAGAGUAGCUGAAGGUACUGUACGAAUAAGCACCGGCUAACUCCGUG
RNAcentral lists this ribosomal RNA (479 nucleotides) under uncultured bacterium. RNAcentral's name for it is "partial 16S ribosomal RNA". It matches the Rfam family "Bacterial small subunit ribosomal RNA", at positions 28 to 507 of the family's 1533-position model. The record is from RNAcentral.